AGCUCCAAUAGCGUAUAUUAAAGUUGUUGCGGUUAAAAAGCUCGUAGUUGGAUUUCUGCCGAGGGCGACCGGUUCACCCUUAGGGGUCGAUAUCAGGUUUGACCGAGGCUUUUUCUUGGGAUUCGACUUGGUACUUAACUGUGCCAACCGUUUUUCCAAGACUUUUACUUUGAGGAAAUUAGAGUGUUUCAAGCAGGCUUAUGCCGUGAAUACAUUAGCAUGGAAUAAUAAGAUAUGACUUCGGUUAUAUUUUGUUGGUUUCUAGAACUGAAGUAAUGAUUAAUAGGGACAGUCGGGGGCAUUCGUAUUUAAUUGUCAGAGGUGAAAUUCUUGGAUUUAUUAAAGACGAACUACUGCGAAAGCAUUUGCCAAGGAUGUUUUCA
Molecule: ribosomal RNA, 383 nt
Filed under: uncultured eukaryote
Lineage: Eukaryota
Description: SSU rRNA
Rfam family: Eukaryotic small subunit ribosomal RNA
Source: RNAcentral